GUACACGCUGUGACUAGCAUAUCAAUAAGCGGAGGAAAAGAAACUAACAAGGAUUCCCCUAGUAACGGCGAGUGAAGCGGGAAGAGCUCAAAUUUGAAAUCUUAAAGGGUUUCCCUUUACGAAUUGUAGUUUAAAGAAGUGUUUUCUGUUGAGGUUUUGGUAAAAGUUCUUUGGAAUAGGACAUCAUAGAGGGUGAGAAUCCCGUAUUUGACCUUUACUUUCAACUUUGUGAUACACUUUCAAAGAGUCGGAUUGUUUGGGAAUGCAGUCCAAAAUGGGUGGUAAAUUUCAUCUAAAGCUAAAUAUUGGCGAGAGACCGAUAGCGAACAAGUACCGUGAGGGAAAGAUGAAAAGAACUUUGAAAAGAGAGUUAAACAGUACGUGAAAUUGUCAAAAGGGAAGCGUUUGACACCAGUGUUGUUUUUCUGAAAAUCAAUUAAAGAACUGUUUAUGCUAAGUUGUUUAGACUUUAUCAGCUAACUGUUUAGUUUUGAGCUUUUCUUUAAUGCACUUUUCAGUUAACAAGUCAACAUCAAUUUCUUUUGCUGUAAAAAAGCUUGAGGAAGGUGGCUUGAGAUUCGUCUUAAGUGUUUAUAGCCUCUUGCCUAUGCAGUCGGAGAGAUUGAGGUCUGCAGCGUAGAUCCUUCGGGGCUAAAUGCAUUUGUGCUAAGUUAUAGCAUUUCAUAGACAACUUGUUGACUAUGAUUUGUCCUGUAGCUUACUCGCUUAUGUUAUUUUACCUACGCUUAGGAUGUUGACAGGCAGUAUAGACUGU
Molecule: ribosomal RNA, 775 nt
Filed under: uncultured Neocallimastigales
Lineage: Eukaryota; Fungi; Neocallimastigomycota; Neocallimastigomycetes; Neocallimastigales
Description: partial large subunit ribosomal RNA
Rfam family: Eukaryotic large subunit ribosomal RNA
Source: RNAcentral